RNAcentral lists this transfer RNA (75 nucleotides) under Thermoplasmata archaeon HGW-Thermoplasmata-1. RNAcentral's name for it is "tRNA-Arg". Lineage: Archaea; Methanobacteriati; Thermoplasmatota; Thermoplasmata. The record is from RNAcentral.
GGGCCCGUAGGGUAGUUCGGAUAUCCUUCCGGUCUUCGGAACCGGAGACCCGCGUUCGAACAGUCGACGCGUUCA